This is a long non-coding RNA of Bombus terrestris (buff-tailed bumblebee), 7218 nucleotides long. RefSeq lists it as uncharacterized. Lineage: Eukaryota; Metazoa; Arthropoda; Insecta; Hymenoptera; Apidae. The transcript has 4 exons. The record is from RefSeq and is a predicted model, not a curated record.
UCCGUUGCGGCUCCCCUUGAGUCAGCAUCGGGGGGCGGCGCUGCAAUCGCUCCACUGCCACCGCUGCCGCCGCCGCCGCCGCUGCUGCUGAUGGUUUCUGCUGAAGCAAGGGAUGGCUGCGCAACCCCUCGAGGGUGCCGAUGCUAGUUCUCGAUUCCUGCAGGCCUUUUGAUUGUGUGCGCGCGCGACCUCCACGUUUGCGCGAAACGCGCGUGUGUGCAUCGCCAUUGGCGUAGCCUCGCUUCGUUGGUCUUUAAGAGUAUCUUUUAGCUUGUUACUUCGUGGAAUUUUAUAAUAAUUGGGAGAUGGUUGCUGGAAAAGAUUGUCUGUUGGAGUAAUUUCGGAAGAAUGAAACGUGGAAAAUAUUUCAUGCAGAGGUUGGGUCGAUAAGGAAGAAUGUGUGGAGUUCGAGGGAAUUUCGGAAACCCUGUUGAUCGACGCUAUUGCGUCCCGACGAGGGUGUACGCCAACAGAUCGACUCUCUCUUUCCCGCGCACGCACACAUUGUGCAAACUCGGAUUUAUGGCAGUCUGCCGCCAUCGUAUGCUUAUAGUAGCCUGCAACUUUGGUUAGCCCAAAUCGUAGCUAGUCUAAACAGAAGUAUGAACCACGCUGUUAGUAUUCUAUGCUUUCUCUAACUUUCUCAUAAACGAUACUUAUAUACCUUCCUAGUUGAACGUUCCAAAAACCUCGAGGCCGUCCCCAAGCAACUUAUAACUAAAACAUAUCAAAUUAAUUCACGUUCGAUCGAGGCUUAAUUUCCCCCAGCCCGUAAAUCCACCGAAACGGAAGCUCGUUCGAAACCGGCCGUGUGUCACGGUGGAGGUUAGUGAACCCGAGCAAAAAAGAGAAAGAAAAAAAGAAACCGUGCACCGAAACCGUCCGCGAGGGAUGCGUGUGCAAGUGGUCGGUGUCGAGGCCGCCGCGCCGUGUCGAAUGUAGACAUAGAGGAAAGAUAGAGAGAGAGAGAGACAGAGAUAGAGACAGAGACAGAGAAAGAGCGGAAGAGAGAACAGCUGGCCGGGCUGCCACGGGCACCGGCCUCGUUCCUCGCGUCACGACGAGUGUGUAAACUCCCAAGGGGGAGGCCGAUGGUAAUUCCUAUGGAAGAUUGGCUGCAUAGUGGUGACGCUAUGUCGCCCGAUACGCGACGCGAACUUGUUGGUAGCGGGUUGAUGGUGUUAGUGCAGCGUGUAGAAGGAACGGUGCGAGGGGUGAAGGGUAGCUGGCACACGUUGGGGUGAGAUCUCGAAUAGGAGAGGGUAGCCUCUAUCUCCCCUAUUCCGCAAAAAGGGGGAGAAAGUCGAGGGUGGAGGAGCCAGAAAUGAGAAUGUCGGCUAAAGUGGUGGGAGAACGAAGGUCCGCGCGAGGGUUAGCGGAGCUGAUAGUGGGGACAGCGAAGCGGAAUGGGGAUGGCCACGCAUGCGCUACCGAUCAGCAUCGACCCGACGUCUAGGCAACACCUGGUAGCACCCCACGUGCCACGUUAGGGUGGCACCAGCCACCCCGCGCACGCGAUACCUCGUAUCGAAUAUCACGCUGGCCUUCCUGUCCCGUCUACUGACCCACGCCAACCAUGUCUUUCGUCGCUCUUACGGCUCGAGUUUUCGUAAAUGGGAUACAGACCAAUCGAAACCGAACGGUAUGCGUACGGAAGGGAAAACUGGAGGAUGAAGCGAGGAGGAAUUUAAGGAAGAAAAUAAGCACGGUUCGACGCAUGACGGAGGUGCUUUGAUCUCAGUGCUGGCCGAAGCAAGCAAAUUGUGUGUCCUCAAAGGGACCGUGAUUGAAGUCACACGAACCGUACAACGGUGCUUCGUCCGUUCCCUCCGUUUUAUUUUUUUAUUUAAGGAGUUACUUUCGGCAGCUUCCUGUGUAAAUAAUUACCCACCAACUACAGUCCGUAUCUCAAAUACUCCUUCGAUGUUAAACACGUGUAAUACUCUCCAUUAAAUUUCACUGAAAUUCAUAGAAAUCUAUUAGAAUACUAUAUCGGGUUGGCAACUAAGUGAUUACGGAUUUUAUCAUUACCACCUAAUCACAAAAUCCGCAAUCACUUAGUUGCCAACCCAAUAUAUUGGCCAAAAGUUUUCUACGUUAUCUACGAGAUAACUGUACUGUAUACAAUGUAUUAACGAAACGUUCUAUAUGUAAAUUAUGUAGUUUUCAAAACAAAAAAAGUUUGACACAAGGUAUUUUUACGUGUCGAAAUCCAUGUUACAUGCAGAGAUACUGCAUCCCAUUUUCUCAACGAACAAAGGUCCAAAAACAGAAAAAGAGAAGAACGAUUAUUUUCCAACAUUUAUACAGACUGGGUUCCUCUUUUUCAGCUCGUACUCUUUACACCGAUUUUAGAUGCACGCGUGCGACAAAGCGAAGCGGAAACAACUAAGAAACGAAGCCCGUUUUUCAACGAGGAAUACUAACAGAGGUGAUGCAGCAGACAGAAAUACCAGCGAAGAGACGAGGAGAGAAAAUAGGAACGUAUCCAAUUCUUGGGAUAUCCUCGGCUCGUCGUCACCCUUUCCACUCGCAGUUUCCUCCAUGAAACGAAAAUCCAGCGGAGUUAAAUCGGGGGCAGCACUGGGCGCUGUACGGCCAAGGAUAUAUCCAGAGAUCUAAUCGAGGAAGAAGGGUGCUCGUGCUGCACCCUGCUGCAGUUCCAGGGUGAAUCAUGCCGCGAUACAAUCGAGCUCGUGGCAUAAAACGCGCCUUUGCGGUUCUGCGGUUCGUCGAUGGCCGCUGGUGUGCGAGCGACCUCGUCCAUGCGAAUCCAUUUGUAUCCUCUUCAUAUCAAGAUGCAAUCUGAUGAUUGGUCAAACGACCGUGCAAUUUACUCGAGUGUUCUCCGCGACUAUUCUUUAUCUCUUCUUUAUCGCCGUGCCACCGUGAUUACACCGAGCAAACGAUAAGUAGCCGCCUCGAAUUUCCGCGAGGAUGAUACACUUGAUGAUCUUGGCGAGUUUCUCGACGCCACUGGAGGAACGCCGUGGCCAGGAAUCGAGCUGUCGCUGGGGAACUUUCGUUUCGAAAGCUGUCGAAACUUUAGUUUGACAAGAGUGUUAUUGGGACGAACAGGCUUUUUAUUGUCUUUACGGAAUUUGUUUAUCUUCUAAUUUAGACGCUUUGAAUUUUCUGGGGAGGGAGAUAGGCAGAAGAUUUUGGUGAAUUCAUCGACGCGAAUGGAACGUUGUAUGCUCGUACGAUCGUAACAAAAAGUUCUUUUUAAUUUCCUGUGGAAACUCGGCGAAGGACAAAUUUUCCGAUAAAUAAUUUUGUAUUAAUUUUGUAUUAAAAUAACUCUUUGUAACAAACUUAAUACCUAUCGUUUUAUUUUUAGAGAAUUGUAACGCUGAAUAGCCAGUGGAUCAACACACCUGUGCCAGGUAUUAUACGACAUCGACGUUUAAAAAUGAAACAGAUUAGAAGGUAAAGCGAUCGAAUUUUAUUUGAACUUGAGACAAAACUUUGUCUUUAUCGAAUCCCUUUAAACCUCUCAGUAAUCAAUCUCACGUCCUACAUAAGAGCUAGCACACAAAUUCUACCGAAGAAACAAAGAAAAACUGCGGUAGAUUCGCCUCUGAACGUCUUUCAUGGUUACUUUAUAUCGACUAUGCUAAUCUUAGAGGACGGUCGUCGUCUGCCACGUUCCAGGACCCUUGCUGCCGCUUUCACGCUGCCUCAACCCCUUCACGAUAACGUAAAUACUUCGUGGCGUACAACGAAAGGGUUGUCCGUACAGGUUAACCCGUAACCGUGACGUCGUAUUUAUAAAGAAAGGGUAGAGACUUUCUACGAGCAGAAAUAUAUACAGUGACUCGCGAAAGUAUUCGAACAUUCUCAGAAUAUUUUUAGAUAUAUAUAAUAUUUGAAAUCUUAUUAGCACCGUAACUGAGACACAGCAACUAUCGUGAUUAUGAUAGUAAAAUUUGGAAUCAAUCUGAGAGUAUAUGUAGGAGUUACAAGACAUUUAUCGUAAACCGAUAUUUAGUAAAAAAUUUAGCGUAUCUCAUGAAUAAAUUUAAACAUAAGAUUAGUGCUAUAGAUGGUCUCGCUAUGUAUCGUAGUUUCCAAAAAGUUUCGUAAGAAAACACAUAAUAUGUUCGUAAAACAAUAUUCUAUGGUAAGUUUCUGAAUUUUCGCGAACUUUCGUCAACCGCAAUAAGUUCGUGUAACGAGACGAAAGAACGGAGACACUGAAGAGAUAUCGGGCUAACGAAAUUUAUACGUGACACUUGUGAGAUUCGUGGUACCGAACUCUGUCGUUUCGACAGCUUGUUCCAGUCGAAAAGAGGGUUGUUUGUUGGCUCGCCGAGAUAACGGUAUCGUCCGUAAAAUGUGCCUAGUUUUACGUUCGCUCCUAUUGGCGCAUGAAUUCCAAACAAUAUAGUACGUGUGUUUUUAAUAAAUAUCAAUCUUCGUUAGUUACAUGGAUAGUGUCUCAAUAAAAUUUACACGCGUUUUAUUAUCAUAUAUUUUUGGAAAGCAGAAUGGAUGAAUGUUGAGCUUCUGUUUUUGAAAGUGGUCCUCUUAGAGUUGGAAAUGUUUAACGUGCUUUCUGAUUCCACAAUUUUUGUAUAUGAUCGAUCGAUAGCUUUAGCACAUUUUUAACGAUAGAACUUUUUAAAACUAGGAACUUCUGUUUUGAAAAGAGAAAUGCUUUAUUUGUAAAUUUAUUUAGCUCGUAACUUUUCCCCCUUUUCCGUAUUUUAUCGGUAGCAAAUGGGAUUGAGAUAAUAUUGUGCGUAUUAGAUUCCACUCGUAUAAUACCGAGCGAUAAGAAGAAAGCAGUUAAUAAAAUAUUUAUACGAUAUACAUUGAUAAAAGAGCAAUUGAUAAAGUGCACGGAGAAACUCAGCCCUAUAUUUUUCAUAUCCUAAUGUGAGAUAAAAAACACACGAUAUUGGAGAAGUUUAGAAAAUUGCAGCGGUACUCGUGAAUAAAGAAAAACGUAGCAGCUACGUGAUCAGAAAAGAAUGCCAUAAAACGUUCGAUAUAUCACUAUAUCGUAUCCUGUGAUUACUUGAAGGAGAAUACGGUAUUAUUUCGUGGUUUCAACAGGAUUUCCAUUUUAUACGGUAAAAAGAAUACGACGGCUCACGUUAUUCUUCAUUUUGUCGCGCGAUUUGUCUACGUAGAGGUAUAAGAACGUACGGCAUCGUAAAACGAGCCGGAGAACAGCGAGGGUGAUAGAACAGCGUUCCCAGUGUCUCUGUGACGAUACACACACUCACAGUUGCCGGGUAAAUUAUCCCCUAUACACGACGCCACUCGAGCGCCAUGGUAACGUAAGCUCUCCAAGAACUGAAACGGAAUUUCCCUCUCCAUAUACGUAUGUAUAUAUAUAUAUACAUAUAUAUUUCUGUAUAUAUACAGAAACAAAUUAUAAUUGACGCAAAUUUAGUUGUGGUAAUGGUGAAACGUGCCUAAACAAGAACUUCUAGAAAGUAAUCACGAUCGAUAAUUGAACGAGGAAACUUACGUUAUAAUAGAAGAGUAGGAAUAUUUUAAUAAUAUAUUGGUAAUAACGUACGAAGUAUUACCAUCUAAUGAAAAAAUCCGCAAUUACAUAGUUGCCAACCCAAUAUAAGCGUAUAGGUCAUUAUAUAGGGUAGGUGAUAAUUGGAAAUAUUAUUAAUAUAAAAAUGUUAACAAACAAGGUUGACGCGUUUUGUGGAGGGGAUAUUGAUCAACUCCAUAAAUUGAAAGGUACGGAAGGGCGGUGAUGUUACAAAUAUUGAUUUUUAAACCUACAUUGGAAUUCAUCGUUGUUCAAAUAAUUUUAGAUGAUUUAAUUAAUCGUUUAAUUUGAAAUAAAGUUGUGGAAGUAAAUCGCUUGUCCCUCGAUGAAUGGACGAUAAUCGUGUACUUAUGCAAUGAAAUUAAAGAAUUGAUAAAAAGUGGAAUUGCUCCGCUUGGCUUUUGAGAGGCUCGUUUCUCUACAAUCUCGGUAUUUAUGAAAAUAUGCAUUCGUCGGACAUCAUCGUCCCUUUUUCUAUAUAUUUAUAUCUUCUGAAAUGCAAAACAUUUUUGUAAAAAAGAGAUGUUACAUGAGAAUAAAAGUAAAAAUUCUGCGCACGAAGUUCUUGAUUGCUGGUAUCAAAUUGAAUGAGCAAAAAUAUUAGAUAACAAAGAGCAAAGCAAAGUGACCUAACGAACUAAUCAGGGGCUGGCUUACGUCCUUCGUUAGCGGCGACACAUGUAUCCGCAUAGGCUUUUCUACAAUGUAUUUAAUGUAUGCGAAGUCAUUCCUGAUUCAGCGAAGUUCCGCGGCACGGGAUGAAUCAUCCCCUCGUGCACCGGAGCUCGAGCACCGCGAUAACGUAGGCACUUUACAGCCUCGAACGAGAACGACGAACCUUUCUGUCUUUCUCUCUUCGUGUUCUCUCCUCUUUGUCACUCUUGCGAAUUCCCGUCUCUGUUCCCCUUUCUCUAUUAAUUCGACGUGUUGCUGCGGUAACUACGGUGUCAGCAACAUUACCCGUUCCUGUAUCGAUGAGAUAGAAAUGUCAGCCGAACGGCUAACGAGGAUGCCACGUGCGGGGAUGCGACAGUCUCACUCGGGAAACAUUCGAAUAGAUAUCGUGCAAUUUUGGUGUAUCGAAACGAGGAGAGUCUUGAAAUUUUGAUACACUGGUUUAAUGAGUUAUUGCAGAAUUGGAUAUUUUAUUUUUAUGUAUGUAAAUGGUUGUUGGAAGUUACAUGGAAUUAUUGAAAAAUCAGCUUUUACCUGUUACUUCGUUCGCGCUAAUACUACUAAUAUACGGAAAAUUUUCAGCAGAUGAAUUUUUUGUGAACGAAAUGUAACAGGUAAAAAAUAUUCAAUUAUAGAACUGCUCGAUUUCAGAAGAAACACGACGUAAAUAAUAACCAUCGUUGCUUAACUUCUAGCAAACUUGGAAGCGCAUGCAACUCAAAUGCCAAGCUAUUUCUCAGCUUUUAGAAUACAAAUCGAGAUGAGAGAUGCCCUAUCUUCUUUCCCAGACACUAGGCUAUACGACAUAGAAAACGCAACCAAAACUCUCUCGGCAGUUUUUACAUAAUAUGCGUGGGAUGCUCAAAUUGUGAAUUGCGACUUGUAAGGGCAAGAGGGUCAAAUGUGAAAGGGAGAGAAGAAAAGUGAGGAAUGGAUAUGAAGGAAGGAACGAUAGAAAAUAAGGAAAGGAAUCUACACAAAGAAGAGGCGCAGUGAAACGAAAAGAAAGGAAAAGAAAAGGA